GCAUAUUUUUACAUCAUUAACAAUUUAACAUUGUCUAGAAAUUGUUAUUUACAUUAUAUUAUGACUUUGCUUAAGAGAAUGAUUCGAUAUACAUAAGUGGUUGAUGACAAGUGUACGGUAGACUGUGUUUCUAAAUAUUUGUACACUGUGAUAGACCACAUACGAAAAGAAUAGGCCCUAAAGAAGUUUAAGUUCACAAUGUAAAAUAUUCCGUUAAGAGGUCACUAUACUCACAUGUGCUGUCUCAGUCCAACUAACAAACAAUUUAGCAAAAUCUACCUUACGCAGUGUGCAUAGAAUAUGAUUAAUGUUUAGUUAUUAUCCAGCAAUAACAAAGCACUACUGGGUUAGCUAGUAAUACAUAAAGUAAUAAGUAU
Non-coding RNA from Cinara cedri, 377 nucleotides. The record is from the annotation of a GenBank genome assembly. NCBI's taxonomy places the organism in Eukaryota, Metazoa, Arthropoda, Insecta, Hemiptera, Aphididae.